UGACCCAUUCAAAAAUGGAGCAGGGAUAUGAACAGAGAAUUCUCAAAAGAAGUAAAUAUAGUGUGGCUAAAUUGAGACACAGGUCAUGUUUCCAUCACAGUAGAUAUAUCACAGUGGUGACAAUGAGACCUGUAACAUUU
This is a small nucleolar RNA of Arvicola amphibius (Eurasian water vole), 140 nucleotides long. RefSeq annotates it as small nucleolar RNA SNORA1. NCBI's taxonomy places the organism in Eukaryota, Metazoa, Chordata, Mammalia, Rodentia, Cricetidae. The record is from RefSeq and is a predicted model, not a curated record. The transcript has a single exon.